UUGAACAUUAAGGUUACCAAAUAUUGAUUUUCUAUAAAAAAAAUAAUAAUUAUUAGUUGUGGUAUAACUGUUAAUUAUAAAGAUGUCUAAUAGGCUUCUCUACAAUACAUAAUUAAAAAAAAAAGAUCUUUAUUAAUUAAAGAACUAUUAAGAAAUACUAAAAAAAAUGAGGCCUUAAAAAAAUAUAGGGCCUUAGUCAAUCGUCUUGUUCGCCUAUACUUAAAGCCACCCCUGGUAGGAGCAAUUAAACAGAUGCAGCUAUUAAAAAUAAAGAAUUACUUAUCUCGUCAAUAACUAACGAUAUUUUUUAUCUAUACUCAAUAGGCGUCUGAUCUAUAUUAUAAACUGUAAUAUUUGUAGAUUGUAACAAUUAAAAAAAAAAAAAAGCUCCCUAAGACGAAAUGACAAGAGGACUGUUUUGAAAUAGAUAGAUAAAGUAUGCCCUUAUUUGAGAAAAGGUAAAACACUAGGGAUCCAAAUGUUAUUAAAAUCCCAUGCAAAAAAUGCUAGAAAAAACUAAUAACUAACCGAAAAUCCCAGGCGUCAUAUUCCUUUUUACCGCGUUUUAAAAUGCACAACAAUGAUAUUCUCACGAAAGUGGGUACAAAGGUUUGUACAACCAGGGUCUCUUUGUAAAUUAUUUCAAAGUUUUGUGUUAUUUUUUAAAUUUAUGAAUUUUAUUAAUUUUGAUUGAUUGGAGCAUUUCUCCUUCCAUCUCUUCUACAUCUAUUUUUAAAUUUCUUUAAAAUUUUGACUAUAUCUUUAUAGAGUUCUAAAUGAUUAUCUUUUUCAUAAAAAUCUAUAAUUAAAUUAAUCCUUGAAUUUAUAAUCAUUUAUCUUCUUUGAGUCAUAGACCAAAUUUUUUCUUCUAACAUAACUAUGUAUACUCCUAAGCUAUCUUCGCAGCUUAAAUACAUUCUAUCAAAGCUUUCGCAUAUAAAUUGUAAUUUGAGAUCUGCAUCUUGAAUCAACAUCUCUAUAUUAUCCAUUGUUUUACGCUCGAUUUUGAGUUCUAUUAUUAGUCUUGCACCUGUCUUGGAUUAUUUCGAGGGUAGUUAAAAUUGAUUCUAUUAAUGCUAUCCUGUUUUCUUCUUCAAAAGAAUCAAAUAUUUCUGGAUUAUUAAUUUCUUUUAUUUCUUCAUACAAGCGUUCGUUUGCCGUUAAUCUUGUUUUAAUCAAGGAAGCUGUAUAAGCAACUUGAUAUUCUUGACAAAAGUCUAAAUGAUCUAUUGCAUCUAGAAAUUUAUUAAUAGAUCUUUCCAUUUUUAAGAAAUUGAGUUACUAUUAUCACUUCCAAUCUUUUAACAUCUCAGAAACAAACAAGGCCCAACAUGCUUCCGUUUGUAGCUAAAAUAAAAGAAGAGUUCAAAUCACUAACCAGUGUACUAUCUCUCAGAAUUCUGAGAUAGACUCAUUAAUUGCCUCUAACCACAGAGAGGUCCAUGGUCAGUACCACCAUAGUUCCACACAUCAUACAAGAUCACUUCAACGACUGUUCCACAUGGCCCAAUGCAACACACAGCAGACUGUCCUAAUAGGAUAUGUCUAAGUGAUUUUCUUGCAGUUGUCUCUAGAAGAGUGCUUAGUAAUAGAAAAUCUUCUUCGUUUAGUACAAGUAUUGGCAUGUAAGGUUCUUGGUUAAUUUUCAAAAGAUGUAUAAGAUAUCUGGAAGAUGAUAAUUUCACUCAAAAGAGUUUUAUUUAUUUCAUUAUUGAAAUUGUUUACAAAGGAAGGUUAUAGAGAAUAUAGAGGAAAUUGAAGGUUAGACAUUUGAUAUCUUUCCUUUCUUACAUGCUUUCAUUUAUAUAUCUCUCUAGAGAUAAGAUUAUCUCUUCAUAACACAUGUUCGAUCCUUAUGGUGGAAUCUCGAUUUCCUUUUGAUAAGGUGGCCCAAUCUUCAUCAUUGAAGCCAGUAGUUGUCUUCUUUUCAUGUUUGCAGACAACCUUUAUCUGGUUCUGGUGAGCUUUUUCUUUUUU
RNAcentral lists this long non-coding RNA (1977 nucleotides) under Citrus sinensis (sweet orange). RNAcentral describes it as "long non-coding RNA (CSIN_LNC002215)". Lineage: Eukaryota; Viridiplantae; Streptophyta; Magnoliopsida; Sapindales; Rutaceae. The record is from RNAcentral.